Panthera uncia (snow leopard) is the source of this 324-nucleotide long non-coding RNA. RefSeq lists it as uncharacterized. The record is from RefSeq and is a predicted model, not a curated record. The transcript has 2 exons. NCBI's taxonomy places the organism in Eukaryota, Metazoa, Chordata, Mammalia, Carnivora, Felidae.
CUAUGAAAACCUUCUGUUUUUACACCUCCUCAGAGCUCCCCUCUGCUUGCUAGAUGGGACGCUGCCCCACUCAUGAAUCAUUUAAUAAAGACAAUUAGAUCUUCAGAUUUCCUCGACCGACUUUUUGUUCUUUGACAACAGUGUACUUAUGACGAAGAACUUGAACUCAGAAGACAUGAUUUGCCCAAGGUUACCCGACUUGCAGAAGGAACCUCAUGCUUUGUUUCUGCUCCAGUCCAGUGUCUUCUCAAAUGCUCCGCUUUGCCUUUUAACUAAAUAAUGGCUUUCCACCAUUUCACUUAAUAAAGUACUCUGCCACAGGCA